RNAcentral lists this unclassified non-coding RNA (329 nucleotides) under soil metagenome. RNAcentral's name for it is "partial contains 5.8S ribosomal RNA, internal transcribed spacer 2, and large subunit ribosomal RNA". The stretch from base 1 to 120 matches the Rfam family "5.8S ribosomal RNA", at positions 35 to 154 of the family's 154-position model. The record is from RNAcentral.
GAUGAAGAACGCAGCGAAAUGCGAUAAGUAAUGUGAACUGCAGAAUUCAGUGAAUCAUCGAAUCUUUGAACGCACAUUGCGCCCCUUGGUAUUCCGAGGGGCAUGCCUGUUCGAGCGUCAUUAUAACCCCUCAAGCUCAGCUUGGUGUUGGGGCCUGCUGCACUGGCAGCCCUUAAAAUCAGUGGCGGCGCCAUCUGGCUCUAAGCGUAGUAAUUCUUCUCGCUAUGGAGUCCUGGUGGAUGCUUGCCAUCAACCCCCAAUUUUUCUAUGGUUGACCUCGGAUCAGGUAGGGAUACCCGCUGAACUUAAGCAUAUCAAUAAGCGGAGGA